AUUCAGUAUGAACCCCAGAAGCAGACUGGUGGGAUUUAGGUCCCAAACUCCUCUGGAUGCCCACUCAGCCUUGGGAUCCUCGUUUUAUUUUACCCCAGCGUUUUUGUCUGCAAUUGGAAAUGCUAUCAGAGGUUAUCUUCCAGUGACUUUGGAGAGAAUGGGCUGUAUUUGAAGCCUACUUUUUCCAAAACGCUGUUUUCCUUUUCUUGUUACUUAUUUCUGUCUUUCCCCUACAGCACAUAGCAGUGUUUUUUCAGACAAUUUUUCUUCAUUUUCUUCAGCUGCUAAUGGUAGUUCAUUUUUUUCUCUUGCAGCUUUUUUGUACCAUGUCCUGCAACAUUCCAUCAGCUGAAUCUCUUGGGCAGACAAAGAAUAUGUACCUGUGCCCCUAUAACAUGGCCUUGGGCAGCAGAAGGGUUUAUACAUCCCAUAUGGAGCUUUAUGACUUCAGUUUGAUACUACGCUGGACCUCAUAAGCAUGCCUCACACAGUGUGUGCACCUUUUCCACUUGGCAUAUGCCUGAUUGGCUUCUCAGAGAGAGCAGUGCACUUCCCUCCUCACCCAGCGGAUGCUGUGCUGCUACCUUUGGUGCCAUCCUCAAACCCUGCUCUGAACACGAACCCCGCAUUUCCUCAUAGACUUCUCAGAGAUCUGUUGACACUGUCCUAUUCAAGCAGAUGGAAAAAAUGAUGGCUGUGACAGAAAGGACAAGCUUCUUUCAAGUCUUUUUUUUUUCAAUAAGGUAAGAAAGAGAAAUCAUUUCAAAUAAAGUCAGCUUUUUUUUAUGUUUGAGAUGAGGG
Molecule: long non-coding RNA, 801 nt
Filed under: Anser brachyrhynchus (Pink-footed goose)
Lineage: Eukaryota; Metazoa; Chordata; Aves; Anseriformes; Anatidae
Description: lncRNA (ENSABRG00000020586.1)
Source: RNAcentral